GAUGAACGCUGGCGGCGUGCCUAAUACAUGCAAGUCGAGCGAACGGACGAGAAGCUUGCUUCUCUGAUGUUAGCGGCGGACGGGUGAGUAACACGUGGAUAACCUACCUAUAAGACUGGGAUAACUUCGGGAAACCGGAGCUAAUACCGGAUAAUAUUUUGAACCGCAUGGUUCAAAAGUGAAAGACGGUCUUGCUGUCACUUAUAGAUGGAUCCGCGCUGCAUUAGCUGGUUGGUAAGGUAACGGCUUACCAAGGCAACGAUGCAUAGCCGACCUGAGAGGGUGAUCGGCCACACUGGAACUGAGACACGGUCCAGACUCCUACGGGAGGCAGCAGUAGGGAAUCUUCCGCAAUGGGCGAAAGCCUGACGGAGCAACGCCGCGUGAGUGAUGAAGGUCUUCGGAUCGUAAAACUCUGUUAUUAGGGAAGAACAUAUGUGUAAGUAACUGUGCACAUCUUGACGGUACCUAAUCAGAAAGCCACGGCUAACUACGUGCCAGCAGCCGCGGUAAUACGUAGGUGGCAAGCGUUAUCCGGAAUUAUUGGGCGUAAAGCGCGCGUAGGCGGUUUUUUAAGUCUGAUGUGAAAGCCCACGGCUCAACCGUGGAGGGUCAUUGGAAACUGGAAAACUUGAGUGCAGAAGAGGAAAGUGGAAUUCCAUGUGUAGCGGUGAAAUGCGCAGAGAUAUGGAGGAACACCAGUGGCGAAGGCGACUUUCUGGUCUGUAACUGACGCUGAUGUGCGAAAGCGUGGGGAUCAAACAGGAUUAGAUACCCUGGUAGUCCACGCCGUAAACGAUGAGUGCUAAGUGUUAGGGGGUUUCCGCCCCUUAGUGCUGCAGCUAACGCAUUAAGCACUCCGCCUGGGGAGUACGACCGCAAGGUUGAAACUCAAAGGAAUUGACGGGGACCCGCACAAGCGGUGGAGCAUGUGGUUUAAUUCGAAGCAACGCGAAGAACCUUACCAAAUCUUGACAUCCUUUGACAACUCUAGAGAUAGAGCCUUCCCCUUCGGGGGACAAAGUGACAGGUGGUGCAUGGUUGUCGUCAGCUCGUGUCGUGAGAUGUUGGGUUAAGUCCCGCAACGAGCGCAACCCUUAAGCUUAGUUGCCAUCAUUAAGUUGGGCACUCUAAGUUGACUGCCGGUGACAAACCGGAGGAAGGUGGGGAUGACGUCAAAUCAUCAUGCCCCUUAUGAUUUGGGCUACACACGUGCUACAAUGGACAAUACAAAGGGCAGCGAAACCGCGAGGUCAAGCAAAUCCCAUAAAGUUGUUCUCAGUUCGGAUUGUAGUCUGCAACUCGACUACAUGAAGCUGGAAUCGCUAGUAAUCGUAGAUCAGCAUGCUACGGUAAAUACGUUCCCGGGUCU
Molecule: ribosomal RNA, 1372 nt
Filed under: uncultured bacterium
Lineage: Bacteria
Description: bacterial SSU rRNA
Rfam family: Bacterial small subunit ribosomal RNA
Source: RNAcentral